GACGAACGCUGGCGGCGUGCUUAACACAUGCAAGUCGAACGGAAAGGCCCUGCCUUUGUGGGGUGCUCGAGUGGCGAACGGGUGAGUAACACGUGAGUAACCUGCCCUUGACUUUGGGAUAACUUCAGGAAACUGGGGCUAAUACCGGAUAGGAGCUCCUGCUGCAUGGUGGGGGUUGGAAAGUUUCGGCGGUUGGGGAUGGACUCGCGGCUUACCAGCUUGUUGGUGGGGUAGUGGCUUACCAAGGCUUUGACGGGUAGCCGGCCUGAGAGGGUGACCGGCCACAUUGGGACUGAGAUACGGCCCAGACUCCUACGGGAGGCAGCAGUGGGGAAUAUUGCACAAUGGGCGGAAGCCUGAUGCAGCAACGCCGCGUGCGGGAUGACGGCCUUCGGGUUGUAAACCGCUUUCGCCUGUGACGAAGCGUGAGUGACGGUAAUGGGUAAAGAAGCACCGGCUAACUACGUG
This 468-nucleotide ribosomal RNA is filed under the name uncultured bacterium. Its description in RNAcentral is "partial 16S ribosomal RNA". It matches the Rfam family "Bacterial small subunit ribosomal RNA", at positions 28 to 507 of the family's 1533-position model. The record is from RNAcentral.